GAUGAACGCUGGCGGCGUGCCUAAUACAUGCAAGUCGAGCGAACGGACGAGAAGCUUGCUUCUCUGAUGUUAGCGGCGGACGGGUGAGUAACACGUGGAUAACCUACCUAUAAGACUGGGAUAACUUCGGGAAACCGGAGCUAAUACCGGAUAAUAUUUUGAACCGCAUGGUUCAAAAGUGAAAGACGGUCUUGCUGUCACUUAUAGAUGGAUCCGCGCUGCAUUAGCUAGUUGGUAAGGUAGCGGCUUACCAAGGCAACGAUGCAUAGCCGACCUGAGAGGGUGAUCGGCCACACUGGAACUGAGACACGGUCCAGACUCCUACGGGAGGCAGCAGUAGGGAAUCUUCCGCAAUGGGCGAAAGCCUGACGGAGCAACGCCGCGUGAGUGAUGAAGGUCUUCGGAUCGUAGAACUCUGUUAUUAGGGAAGAACAUAUGUGUAAGUAACUGUGCACAUCUUGACGGUACCUAAUCAGAAAGCCACGGCUAACUACGUG
Molecule: ribosomal RNA, 497 nt
Filed under: uncultured bacterium
Lineage: Bacteria
Description: partial 16S ribosomal RNA
Rfam family: Bacterial small subunit ribosomal RNA
Source: RNAcentral